Molecule: long non-coding RNA, 4440 nt
Organism: Rhincodon typus (whale shark)
Lineage: Eukaryota; Metazoa; Chordata; Chondrichthyes; Orectolobiformes; Rhincodontidae
Exons: 2
Source: RefSeq, a predicted model, not a curated record
CAAAAAGGGCAGAAAAUCAUUUUCAGAAUACACAUUUACAGUCAUAAACUAGCAGCUGUGUUAUAUUCAAUGCAGACACCAUUUUGGUACAAAGUCAUCAUUUUGGACUUCAAGAACAAAUCCACAUGCCCUGGACUCACUGCUGUCCAAUCACGAGGACCUCAUCAUGGCUGACAUUUGGCCAAGCCUACACCUCGCUUCUGCCAUAUGCUGACUGGUGAGAAGCUGACGGUUUUUCUCUACUGAGGGACUAGGUGUUGAGAUGUCCAAGGACAUACAGGGGAUUGCAGAGAAACGUCUUCAUUGGUGGGAGAGACCAGAAGUAUGGGCUGUUGGUAUAAGACUGCUGCUAAUAACUGACCAGCGGCAAUGUGGAGGUUUCUAUUGUGGGGGAAAUGGUUGAGGAAUCGAGGCAGGCAUAUCACUCUGGAGCCCGUGAUAACAAGAACCAGACAGUAGAGGGUCAUCAGAGGCCCUCCCAUUGGGUCAAGUAACAUUAUAGGAAGCAUGUUCUUGCAUUGAAAGCUACAUCUUUGACUGGUGUGACAAGACAACUAAGGAACUCAAAAUUUCUUUGUAUAUUUCCGGAGACACAGAUGAGCGGGUCUGUGAGCGGUGAAGGCAUUGUUAGUGACUGGUUUGUUUGGCCACUAUGAUGAAUUUCCCUGGCAACUUUCUCACCGUGGCUUUGUUUGCCAUGUUUCUCCAGUUUCAUCCAGAUGCGGGGUACAGAAUUCAUGUGCCAAUUUGUUCUUGAUGCCUGCACCCUUUGAGAAUAAACUAUCAGGCCCUGCAGCAGGAAGUUGCGGAGGAUUAAGAUGUUCAGGGAGAAUGCAUGGUGGUGGCAAUCAAAUGAACUUCGCUGAAGCAUGUAACUCGACCCUGACUUGAUUCUGCUGGCACAUGGAUGCACUGGCAAGCUUUCUGGAUUGUAGAGUUAACCCUUUGUCGCCUAGAGUGGCAGUCUUGCAGAUGCCAUUGCCUGUGCCAGUAAGCUUCGUGAGGAGCUAGCAACUCCUGUGAGCGAGUCAAAACCGUGACGGGGUCCUCAGAUUUUUGGAAGGGAAUGAGGUCAGGACCUGUGGAUAACCACCCUGCAUCCCCCCACCCCCACCCCUACCAAAAUUUCAGACUGUAUUUGUAAUUUUAUCCAUCUUAUGAUGAAGAGUCUUACGGCACACGGCUUGACUUUCCAACAGUGUAAUACUUUCUUCAAAAGUGGGAAGAAAACAGAAAAUUAAAUGGCAGUUAUGCAGCAGCGAUCACUCGUGGCAAACUGACAAACAGGGGCUCAGUCCUCAGCUUGACGUAGUUUCCCUGUUUGCCUCACUUGAGUUGGGUUGGGGUUUAUUCAGGCUUAACAGCCCCUGUAGAAAGCUUGUGAGAAUAAUUUGCAACCCUUUUUCACAACUGUCGCUGGGAAAGUGACCCUCUAUCCUCCCAGUUGCUUGAUGUGGUAGGACAGUUCAGCUACAUGACUCUUCAGCCUCACUAAGGAAAGCCUCUCGUUCAUCCCUCAUUGAAGCUGCUUGUUCAGAUUUUGAAGUUUGUGCUCUUAGAUCUUAUCAUUCGUAAAAAGAGUGAGCAAUGGUACGUGAAUAGGUGGCAACACCAUUUGUGUUCCAAAGUCCUAUGUUAAAGUACGUCAUGUUGAUUUUUCUACUUGGGUUACUUCCGAAGGCUCGUCGCAACCUGACUGCAUCAGUUCAUAGAGCAGGCUGCUCAAAUUCUUCAUUUACUGUUUCUCCAACUCCAAUACUUCACUCUCUGCCACACUACCUUCCAUGCUCUUCUAGGUCUACAUCUGUCUCAAUCCUCACUAUCUCUCAGACUUCCACUCUUCACUUUGCGUGUCUGUCUCCGUCACCAGUGCCUCAUUCUGUUUAUCUCCAGUGUCUUGCUCUGAUUAGUAAUCCAUCUGUACAAUACCUCAGUACAAUACCUUAUCUUCCCAUCUCCAGUUAACGGAUCCUUUUUCCAAGAAUAAUUUGCAUUCCUGCUUCCUCCCUCAGUUACUCUCCACCCUCUAUGUACCAAGUUUCCAUUCCACUUAAAUGUGGAUGAUCUCCAAGGGUGCUAUCUCUCCAUCUGCAAUCUGUCUGUCACUUCAUCCCUGAUGUCUUGCUCACUAUACAUCCCCAAUUCAUUAUUGUCAAUCACAGUAUCCUCAUUUCCUCAAGGUAUCUACUGCCUCAUCUCCAAUUCCACACACUGCCAAAAUAUCCAAUCUUUCAUUCUGUCUUUCCUUCCAACUCCAGUCUCAUUCUUUAUUACUUUCGAUCACCUGUCCCUCACUCUAUCUCUACAUCUCAUCCUCAUUUUCUGUAUCUCUCCAAUUCCUCAUUCACUGUGUCUCAUCAUGUUCAAUGUUUCUCUGUCUGUCUUCUGUCUCCAGUGCCUCAGUUUGUCAAUCUGUCCACCUUCAAUCUCGCUAUCUUUCCGUCUCACUCACUACCUCUAAUGCUUCCAUCUGUCCAUCCAGUACAAUUUUUCACUCUGUCCAUCUUUCUAUCUCUAAUUCCCAUCUGGCUUCAUUUUCUAUCUCCAAACUACAAUCUCUCAUUUAUUUCUCCAUUUACAGUCCUUCACUGUAUCCCUACAGCUUCAAUUCUUUGCUGUAUCCAUCACAGUAUGUCUAAUUCCUCACUCCGUCUACUUGUCCAUUUCUCUGCCUGUUUCUUAGCCUUUUAUGCCUCACUCACUAUCUCUGCACCUCCAAUCCAUCUCUCUAUCUAAUUCACAGUAACCAAUUCCCCGUUCUAUUCUAUCUCUCUAUCUUCAAUCUCUCGUAUUCUCUUCCUCCAUCACCAAUACCUCUCAUAAUCUAUUUCUUAAUCUAUAAUGCUAUCUCCAUCUCAAAUUCCCGAUUGUGCUUUUUCAUCCGUCUCUAAUACCUGACACUUUUCUGACCAUUUCCUGUCACAGAUUUGUCUAUCUCUCCAUUUUCAAUCUCUCAUUUAUGUCUUUCUCCAAUCUCAGUAUCCAUUUCUAAUCCCUCACUCUAUCUCUCCAUCUAUAACGCAUUAGUUUGUUUCUCUCUAUCUCAAAUUCCUGAUUCUGCCUUUCCGUCAAUCUCCACACUCUCCAUCAUUGCCAUCUCAAAUCUCACUCUCUGUCUUUCCAUCUACAAUCUCUUCUCAGUCUAUCUUUUCUCCAGUCACUCUAUCGCACUCUAUUCAAUCUUUCAUUUUGUUCAGCUCUCCAUUUCAAAUCAUUCGCUGUUUCCUCACACAAUCUAUCCAGGUGUCCAGUUCUUCACUGUGUCUGUCCAAUCCAUCAUUCUGUCUAUACAUUUCAAAUCUCUCAUUUUGUCUAUCCAUCUGUCUCUGAAUCCUCACUCUUUCACUCUGUCUUCAUCUUCAGCCAUUCGUACUCUCUACCUCUACACCUCCGAUUACUCACUCUGUCAUGACAUAUCCAAAAUGUCCACUCUGUCUAGUUUACCUGCAAAUCUACCAUUGUUACUCUGUGUCUCCAUGGGUACAUGAAUAGAGGGAUAUAGGCUAAAUGCUGGCAAAUGGGACUAGAUUAGGAUAUCUGAUCAGCAUGGAUGAGUUGGACCAAAGGGUCUGUUUCCAUGCCGUACAUCUCAAUGAUUCCAACUCAAAUUCCUCACUCACUCUAGUUAACCAUCUCCCACUUGCUGUAUCUAAUUCCUCACUGUUUCUUUCCCCAGUUCCAUCAUAAAAUUAUUUACUUGGUCUACCUCUUUAUCUUCAAUUCCCUGACUGUAUGUAUCACAUUACCAUUCCACAAGUCUAUCUAUGUAUCUACAUCCUAUCCCAUAUAUCCCAUCUAUAUCGCCUUCUCGAAUCUCUCUAUCUCCCUAUCUCCAUCCAAAUCCAGUUCGUUUCUCUGUCCUCAAAUUUUCUCUCUGUUUCUUCAUCUCUGAUCCUUGUUCUGUUCUACCCUACAACUCUAAUCCUUUACUGUUUCUACCUCUGUGCAUCCAAUUCCUCUGCGUAUCUCUCCAUUACUAAUUCUUCAUUCUUUGCAUCUCUCCAUUUUCAAUUCCUCACUCAGUUGGUUCCCCUAUCAUCAGUGCUUCCCUGCUGUUUGGCUCAACCUUUCAGAAUUCUUACGGUCAAUCCCUCAUUUCUCCAUUUCCAAUCUUUCACUUUCUCUAUGUGUCCAUCUCCAAAUCCUAGCUCUGUACAUCACAUCGUUGACCUGAAAAUCUCUGAAACUCCUUUUCUUCAGUCUUCAUAACACUCCAUCACCAAAUUCACACUCAUUCUAUUUCUUUAUCUCUACUUCCCCAAUCUUUCUAUCUCUCCAUCGCCAAGACUGUCAGGUGCUUUGUGUGCUUGUUACAAUGAAGACAGGAUGAUUGGAAGGAAUCCAAAAUGGCACAAUCACCAAUGGACCCGAAAGUGGGGAGCCAAUGGGAUAAGCUGGUUCCUGUACUCAAUAAACAUAGGCACCUGGCAAACAAAUGAA